This 82-nucleotide transfer RNA is filed under the name Candidatus Woesearchaeota archaeon. RNAcentral's name for it is "tRNA-Ser". It matches the Rfam family "tRNA". From Rfam's summary of the family: Transfer RNA (tRNA) molecules are approximately 80 nucleotides in length. Their secondary structure includes four short double-helical elements and three loops (D, anti-codon, and T loops). Further hydrogen bonds mediate the characteristic L-shaped molecular structure. tRNAs have two regions of fundamental functional importance: the anti-codon, which is responsible for specific mRNA codon recognition, and the 3' end, to which the tRNAs corresponding amino acid is attached (by aminoacyl-tRNA synthetases). tRNAs cope with the degeneracy of the genetic code in two manners: having more than one tRNA (with a specific anti-codon) for a particular amino acid; and 'wobble' base-pairing, i.e. permitting non-standard base-pairing at the 3rd anti-codon position. Lineage: Archaea; Nanobdellati; Candidatus Woesearchaeota. The record is from RNAcentral.
GCCGGCAUGGCACAAUCUGGUACUGCGCUGGACUUGAGAUCCAGUUCCGAAAGGUUUCCCGGUUCAAAUCCGGGUGCCGGCG